Molecule: small RNA, 1180 nt
Filed under: Histoplasma capsulatum
Lineage: Eukaryota; Fungi; Ascomycota; Eurotiomycetes; Onygenales; Ajellomycetaceae
Also listed under: 1 other name
Description: hypothetical RNA
Source: RNAcentral
ACAUGGUCGGCACGUACUCAGGCGGAACAGUGGUUUUUGUGCUAUUCCGCUAGCUUCGAUGUGGAUGAGGCGGGGAGCGGUGCCGGAAGUCAAGUCUCUUGGUCUGGUGAGGAGUUUAUGGCUCCUGGCCUCUCCCACGCGGUUGGGAACUAAUGACGAAAUCGCCCCUAAGGGCCUGAUUUUCUCCACUACUUUAUAUCAAAAGUAAGUGGGACGCCAGUUGGUUGGGUUAUCUGAAUGACGCCAUUUAGUUAAUUGUUGAUUGGGCUGAUAUUCUUAACUGGGCCCCUGGACAAAUCAACAGAGAUAUGUGAAAAGAUUGAGGCUGCUUCCAACUCCCAAAGUUCCGAGCUGACUGUUCCGCUCUUCUUCGGAAGCUAGUGGAGACUCGAGGUUAAUGAGGGAAAGCAAUGGCUCUCUCCUUGUCCUACUUCCUGUCUCCAUAAAAUGUCUCUUGUGGAAAAGUUUUCCUCCGCCCCCAAGGGCAGACAGACACUCACCGAUAGCGGAGGAGUCACCCCCGCGGAAAAUGGGAAAGGCAGGAGAGAUCCGAUAUCUUUUUUGACCUCUUAUUCUCUUUUUUUGCUUUUUUUUUCAAGAAUCGACAAUGGACGAAUGUGAAACAUGGAUCUGAGCACGCCUUCGAGAUGCCAAACUGCCAAGGAGGGAGGUCCAGGCUAGGCUGACAGGCAAAACGCACAGAUGUGGAACGUAAUUGGAAACGCGGAAGCGCUAUGGGACACUCCCGGUGACUAGGGUGUCUGUGUGGGGAUUGGCUGCAAAGCAUAGAAAAAGAAAAGACAAACUGCGGAUGUUUGGGCGGACCUACGAUGUAAUUUCCCCACCCAAUGUAUCUAUGGACUAUGAGCAGAGGGCGAUCAUUGAUUUCGAAUGGCCUUGGGAUAUCUGAUUCUCAAUUUUAUCUCAGUUGAUCAGAGUAAAAUCCUGUGCCGUGUACCCGCGUAUGCUAUUGACGUCAGUAAAACAAAAUGAGUUCCUCCAAAAGAGGACUCCCAACAACUCACUGGCGAGAAAACGAGUCAGCUCAACCCCUUCUACAGAAAUCGUUGGAGAAAUCGUGGUUACACUGCUAGACUAAUGAAGCAGCAACUAAAGUCCGGGCCCUCAAGUCUCGACGCAACUGAGUGAAAUGAAAGGAUGUCUGCAGCAGCCAAACCAU